Molecule: transfer RNA, 49 nt
Filed under: Quedenfeldtia trachyblepharus (Atlas day gecko)
Lineage: Eukaryota; Metazoa; Chordata; Lepidosauria; Squamata; Sphaerodactylidae
Description: partial tRNA-His
Source: RNAcentral
CCCAGAGUAGGCAUAGUUUAAUUAAACCCUAAGCUGUGACUACACAGGA